ACUCCUACGGGAGGCAGCAGUGGGGAAUAUUGGACAAUGGGGGCAACCCUGAUCCAGCCAUGCCGCGUGUGUGAAGAAGGCUUUCGGGUUGUAAAGCACUUUCAGUGAGGAGGAAGGCCUUAAGGUUAAUACCCUUGAGGAUUGACGUCACUCACAGAAGAAGCACCGGCUAACUCCGUGCCAGCAGCCGCGGUAAU
This 197-nucleotide ribosomal RNA is filed under the name uncultured bacterium. RNAcentral's name for it is "partial 16S ribosomal RNA". It matches the Rfam family "Bacterial small subunit ribosomal RNA", at positions 335 to 524 of the family's 1533-position model. The record is from RNAcentral.